Molecule: ribosomal RNA, 387 nt
Filed under: Ulvales sp.
Lineage: Eukaryota; Viridiplantae; Chlorophyta; Ulvophyceae; Ulvales
Description: partial small subunit ribosomal RNA
Rfam family: Eukaryotic small subunit ribosomal RNA
Source: RNAcentral
AUUCCAGCUCCAAUGGCGUAUAUUUAAGUUGUUGCAGUUAAAAAGCUCGUAGUUGGAUUUCGGGUGGGUACCGCCGGUCUCCCUUUGGGUAUGUACUGGCGUGGCCCGCCUUGCUGUCGGGGACGAUCUCCUGGGCUUAAUUGUCCGGGAACCGGAGUCGACGAUGUUACUUUGAGUAAAUUAGAGUGUUCAAAGCAAGCCUACGCUCUGAAUAUAAUAGCAUGGGAUAACACGACAGGACUCUGGCCUAUCGUGUUGGUCUGUAGGACCAGAGUAAUGAUUAAGAGGGACAGUCGGGGGCAUUCGUAUUCCGUUGUCAGAGGUGAAAUUCUUGGAUUUACGGAAGACGAACAUCUGCGAGAGCAUUUGCCAAGGAUGUUUUCAUCG